GACGAACGCUGGCGGCGUGCUUAACACAUGCAAGUCGAACGGUAAGGCCCCAGCUUGCUGGGGUACACGAGUGGCGCACGGGUGAGUAACACGUGGGUGACCUUCCCCGCACUUCGGGAUAAGCCUGGGAAACUGGGUCUAAUACCGGCUACGUCCGCACCGUGAGGGUGGGGUGGAAAGUUUUUCGGUGUGGGAUGGGCCUGGGGCCUAUCAGCUUGUUGGUGGGGUAAUGGCCUACCAAGGCGGCGACGGGUAGCCGGCCUGAGAGGGUGGACGGCCACAUGGGGACUGAGAGACGGCCCAGACUCCAACGGGAGGCAGCAGUGGGGAAUAUUGCACAAUGGGGGGAAGCCUGAUGCAGCGACGCCGCGUGGGGGAUGACGGCCUUCGGGUUGUAAACUCCUUUCACCUUCGACGAAGGUUUUCUGACGGUAGAUGGAGAAGAAGCACCGGCUAACUACGUG
RNAcentral lists this ribosomal RNA (464 nucleotides) under uncultured bacterium. RNAcentral describes it as "partial 16S ribosomal RNA". It matches the Rfam family "Bacterial small subunit ribosomal RNA", at positions 28 to 507 of the family's 1533-position model. The record is from RNAcentral.